This 856-nucleotide long non-coding RNA is filed under the name Phasianus colchicus (ring-necked pheasant). RNAcentral describes it as "lncRNA (ENSPCLG00000003062.1)". Lineage: Eukaryota; Metazoa; Chordata; Aves; Galliformes; Phasianidae. The record is from RNAcentral.
AAAAUCUGCAGUAGAGAAUUAAAGCUCUUGUCCAGUGCUGUAUAAAUCUUGGUUAUGCUUACAGGUCUCAAGGUGACAAUAAAAGACAUCUGAGGUUGGACUGUGACUUGUCCUUGUGUCAGUCAACACAGCAAAGUCUAGUGUUCUUCAGCUUGCAAACUCAUCUGUUACUGAUAGACCAAAGCAAAUUAUAAAUCAGCCCUGCAGUCUGUCUCUUCAUGUAAUCCUGCCAGCGCGACUCUGAGUACAGCCAAGGAUGAAGAAUGCAAGAGGCAGGUUCUGGCAGAAGUAAUAUUCCACAUUUCCACUGCAAGUACUUUCUAAGACUUCCAACUAAGGAGUCAAAUGCAUCCAAGUCACUUCUAAUUGUUAGCAGUGUCAUCUGUUUCUACAAGGGUAAGCACAUGCAUACAACAUUCAUUAAAUAAUAUUGAGGUACGUGUUAAUUAGUAGUGACCCCCCAAGUCCUUCUCUGCAAGGCUGCUCUCAAGGAGCAGUUUGUAUAAAUACAGGGGAUUUCACCAGUCUGAGUGCAGCACCCUGUGCUUGGCAUUAUUGAACCUCGUUAGGUUUUCAUGGGCCCACUUCUCCAGCCUGUCCUGGUGCCUGGCUUCCCUUCCCUUCAGUGUAUUGACUGCACCAUUCAGCUUGGUGUCAUCUGCAAACUUGCUGAGAGUGCACUCAAUGCCAUCAUCUAUGUCAUUGAUGAAGAUGUUGAAGAGCACUGGUCCCAAGACUGACCCCUGAGGGACACUGCUUGUGGCCAGCCUCCACCCUGACACAGAAUCAUUAAUCACAACCCUUUGGCUGUUCAGUCAACCAGUUCUUAAUCCAUCAAACAAGCCUUCAGAAGUAU